RNAcentral lists this non-coding RNA (21 nucleotides) under Caenorhabditis elegans. The record is from RNAcentral. Lineage: Eukaryota; Metazoa; Nematoda; Chromadorea; Rhabditida; Rhabditidae.
UCCUAAACUUAAAUAACAAAA